CCUACGGGAGGCAGCAGUGAGGAAUAUUGGUCAAUGGGCGAGAGCCUGAACCAGCCAAGUCGCGUGAGGGAUGACGGCCCUACGGGUUGUAAACCUCUUUUGCCGGGGGACAAACGGCGGCACGCGUGCCGUCCUGUGGGUACCCGGAGAAAAAGCAUCGGCUAACUCCGUGCCAGCAGCCGCGGUAAUACGGAGGAUGCGAGCGUUAUCCGGAUUUAUUUGGCUUAAAGGGAACGGAGGCGGUGUUUUAAGUCUGAUGUGAAAGCUUUCGGCUUAACCGGAGUAGUGCAGUGGAAACUGGGAGACUUGAGUGCAGAAGAGGAGAGUGGAAUUCGAGGUGUAGCGGUGAAAUGCGUAGAUAUAACGAAGAACACCAGUGGCGAAAGCGGCUCUCUGGUCUGCAACUGACGCUGAGGUUCGAAAGUGUGGGUAUCAAACAGGAUUAGAUACCCGAGUAGUC
This 460-nucleotide ribosomal RNA is filed under the name uncultured bacterium. Its description in RNAcentral is "partial 16S ribosomal RNA". It matches the Rfam family "Bacterial small subunit ribosomal RNA", at positions 338 to 795 of the family's 1533-position model. The record is from RNAcentral.